CCGCGUUCAUCAGGUGGUCGGCUGGUGCCUUGCAUGCGGACUGCUCCAAUCUGGAAUCGAAGCCAUUACAAUCGGAGGUCGUGUCUGUUCAAUUGGAGUUGUCGUAAACCACAUCUGCAAGGUAUCAGGCGGGGGGAGUAGGCCACAAAUAAGGCCCCACCUCCGGAUCCACCUCCGUAUCCACCUCCGUAUCCACCUCCACUUUCAGAGUCCAGGCCACCGUUACGAGGGCAGGACAAAUAAAAUUGUUUCGUCACGCCACCGCGAAGGUUGCCAGCCGCUGUCGGAAUGAGGCUGGCACACGCAAGACCAGACCAACCGCCAACCGCCUGGAACCACCCACAUGCAGCCACGGAUCCAUCCAUCCAACCAUCCAUUCAUCCAUCCCCCAGCCCUAACCCACUUUCCCUCACGUGCUCCACCUUUACGACCUGCUCAAACAUCAAGCUUAUUUAUUUACUCUAAAAACAAUACCGGAAAAUUAAUAGCAAUUUGUUGGGGUUCAUAAAUUUGUCGAAAUAAAUGUCCUUAACUGGCG
RNAcentral lists this small RNA (538 nucleotides) under Drosophila erecta. RNAcentral's name for it is "GG27231". The record is from RNAcentral. Lineage: Eukaryota; Metazoa; Arthropoda; Insecta; Diptera; Drosophilidae.